AAGUCGUAACAAGGUCUCCGUUGGUGAACCAGCGGAGGGAUCAUUACGAGAGUGUCACCACUCCCAACCCAUUGUUUACCUACCCGUCCACCGUGCUUCGGCAGGCAGCCCUGUGGGACAGAGCCUCGCCCCCUCCGGGGGGUGCCUGCCGCUGGCCAAAUCAAAAUUCUAGCUAUCAAGUACCAUCUGAGUCUUCCACAAAUGAACAAAACUUUCAACAACGGAUCUCUUGGUUCUG
Molecule: unclassified non-coding RNA, 238 nt
Filed under: Myrmecridium phragmitis
Lineage: Eukaryota; Fungi; Ascomycota; Sordariomycetes; Myrmecridiales; Myrmecridiaceae
Also listed under: 1 other name
Description: partial internal transcribed spacer region
Rfam family: Eukaryotic small subunit ribosomal RNA (bases 1-46)
Source: RNAcentral